RNAcentral lists this ribosomal RNA (229 nucleotides) under uncultured bacterium. RNAcentral describes it as "partial 16S ribosomal RNA". It matches the Rfam family "Bacterial small subunit ribosomal RNA", at positions 568 to 796 of the family's 1533-position model. The record is from RNAcentral.
UACGUAGGCGGACUAAUAAGUCGAGGGUGAAAUCCCAGGGCUCAACCCUGGAACUGCCUUCGAUACUGUUAGUCUUGAGGUCGAGAGAGGUGAGUGGAAUUCCGAGUGUAGAGGUGAAAUUCGUAGAUAUUCGGAGGAACACCAGUGGCGAAGGCGGCUCACUGGCUCGAUACUGACGCUGAGGUACGAAAGUGUGGGGAGCAAACAGGAUUAGAUACCCUGGUAGUCC